GUUUUAUUUUUUUUUUAAAUCAAAUACAAUGUUUAAAUUUAAAAGAUUUUAUAAAUCAGUCAAGACUUUUUUACAGUCUUGACUUGGGUGCACAGGGAUAUAUGAGAAAAGGUUGGAGUGCACAGUUUAUGUAUUGAAUUACUUCAAUACCAGCACAUCCUUUAUCAAUAAUGAUCCUUCCGCAGGUUCACCUACGGAAA
Molecule: unclassified non-coding RNA, 200 nt
Filed under: uncultured fungus
Lineage: Eukaryota; Fungi
Description: sequence contains ITS1
Source: RNAcentral